RNAcentral lists this ribosomal RNA (467 nucleotides) under uncultured bacterium. Its description in RNAcentral is "partial 16S ribosomal RNA". It matches the Rfam family "Bacterial small subunit ribosomal RNA", at positions 29 to 507 of the family's 1533-position model. The record is from RNAcentral.
ACGCACGCUGGCGGCGUGCUUAACACAUGCAAGUCGAACGGAAAGGCCCUGCUUUUGUGGGGUGCUCGAGUGGCGAACGGGUGAGUAACACGUGAGUAACCUGCCCUUGACUUUGGGAUAACUUCAGGAAACUGGGGCUAAUACCGGAUAGGAGCUCCUGCUGCAUGGUGGGGGUUGGAAAGUUUCGGCGGUUGGGGAUGGACUCGCGGCUUAUCAGCUUGUUGGUGGGGUAGUGGCUUACCAAGGCUUUGACGGGUAGCCGGCCUGAGAGGGUGACCGGCCACAUUGGGACUGAGAUACGGCCCAGACUCCUACGGGAGGCAGCAGUGGGGAAUAUUGCACAAUGGGCGGAAGCCUGAUGCAGCAACGCCGCGUGCGGGAUGACGGCCUUCGGGUUGCAAACCGCUUUCGCCUGUGACGAAGCGUGAGUGACGGUAAUGGGUAAAGAAGCACCGGCUAACUACGUG